Parelaphostrongylus tenuis is the source of this 72-nucleotide non-coding RNA. The record is from the annotation of a GenBank genome assembly. Lineage: Eukaryota; Metazoa; Nematoda; Chromadorea; Rhabditida; Metastrongylidae.
GCCCGUAGUGCAACAGUUCGAGCAUGCUCCCUUGAAUAGGGUGAAAUGUGGGUUCGAAUCCCACAUUGGGCA